CUGGUUCCUGUACGAUCAUCAAAGUUAAGCAACAUCAAGCCUGGUCAGUACCUAGAUGAGUGACCACCUGGGAAUACCAGGUGCUGUAAG
Molecule: non-coding RNA, 90 nt
Organism: Acanthosepion pharaonis
Lineage: Eukaryota; Metazoa; Mollusca; Cephalopoda; Sepiida; Sepiidae
Source: the annotation of a GenBank genome assembly